UUUAAUUGAAGAGUUUGAUCAUGGCUCAGAUUGAACGCUGGCGGCAGGCUUAACACAUGCAAGUCGAGCGGUAACACAGGAGAGCUUGCUCUCUGGGUGACGAGCGGCGGACGGGUGAGUAAUGUCUGGGAAACUGCCUGAUGGAGGGGGAUAACUACU
Molecule: ribosomal RNA, 159 nt
Filed under: Serratia liquefaciens
Lineage: Bacteria; Pseudomonadati; Pseudomonadota; Gammaproteobacteria; Enterobacterales; Yersiniaceae
Description: partial 16S ribosomal RNA
Rfam family: Bacterial small subunit ribosomal RNA
Source: RNAcentral